UACGGAGGAUGCGAGCGUUAUCCGGAUUCAUUGGGUUUAAAGGGUGCGUAGGCGGGCUUUUAAGUCAGCGGUAAAAAUUCGGGGCUCAACCCCGUCCGGCCGUUGAAACUGGGGGCCUUGAGUGGGCGAGAAGAAGGCGGAAUGCGUGGUGUAGCGGUGAAAUGCAUAGAUAUCACGCAGAACCCCGAUUGCGAAGGCAGCCUUCCGGCGCCCUACUGACGCUGAGGCACGAAAGUGCGGGGAUCGAACAGG
RNAcentral lists this ribosomal RNA (252 nucleotides) under uncultured bacterium. RNAcentral's name for it is "partial 16S ribosomal RNA". It matches the Rfam family "Bacterial small subunit ribosomal RNA", at positions 524 to 776 of the family's 1533-position model. The record is from RNAcentral.